AGCUCCAUUGAUGGAAGAACCAGUGAUGUUUUAUGCACUUACCGAAAGAACGUUUACACUCGAAAAACUUUCGACAGUAAUUUAUGAGAAGACAAUCAUCAACACUGGUGGACAUUACAACACUUUUGAUGGAGUAUUUGUUGCUCCAAAGUCAGGGACCUAUUUCUUUUCUUGGACUAGCUGCACUAACGGUGCUAACUAUGCGUUCACUGAGUUAAUGGUAGAAAAUCAGCUCAUAGCAAAGGCAGGAGUAUAUGAACAUGCUGGCAGUUAUCACUGUGGGUCAAUGUCAUCAUUGUGUAAAAUGAGCAAAGAAGACCAUGCAUGGAUAAGAACCACACCAUAUGGAGCAAAAAAUUAUUUUUAUUUUCAUCGCCAGACCCCGAGCUCCUCUUUUCUUGGUAUGUUUAUGAGCAAUGAGUGACAUUUUACAUUUCCACCGAGUCACUUUUUU
RNAcentral lists this long non-coding RNA (454 nucleotides) under Mytilus galloprovincialis (Mediterranean mussel). Lineage: Eukaryota; Metazoa; Mollusca; Bivalvia; Mytilida; Mytilidae. The record is from RNAcentral.